UACGGGGGGAGCAAGCGUUGUCCGGAAUUACUGGGCGUAAAGGGCUCGUAGGUGGCCAACUAAGUCAGACGUGAAAUCCCUCGGCUUAACCGGGGAACUGCGUCUGAUACUGGAUGGCUUGAGUGUGGGAGAGGGAUGCGGAAUUCCAGGUGUAGCGGUGAAAUGCGUAGAUAUCUGGAGGAACACCGGUGGCGAAGGCGGCAUCCUGGACCACGACUGACGCUGAGUGAGCGAAAGCCAGGGGAGCAAACGGG
This 254-nucleotide ribosomal RNA is filed under the name uncultured bacterium. RNAcentral's name for it is "partial 16S ribosomal RNA". It matches the Rfam family "Bacterial small subunit ribosomal RNA", at positions 524 to 776 of the family's 1533-position model. The record is from RNAcentral.